RNAcentral lists this unclassified non-coding RNA (346 nucleotides) under soil metagenome. RNAcentral describes it as "partial contains 5.8S ribosomal RNA, internal transcribed spacer 2, and large subunit ribosomal RNA". The stretch from base 1 to 120 matches the Rfam family "5.8S ribosomal RNA", at positions 35 to 154 of the family's 154-position model. The record is from RNAcentral.
GAUGAAGAACGCAGCAAAAUGCGAUAAGUAAUGUGAAUUGCAGAAUUCAGUGAAUCAUCGAAUCUUUGAACGCACAUUGCGCCCGCUGGUAUUCCGGCGGGCAUGCCUGUUCGAGCGUCAUUUCAACCCUCAAGCCCCCGGGUUUGGUGUUGGGGAUCGGCUCUGCCUUCUGGCGGUGCCGCCCCCGAAAUACAUUGGCGGUCUCGCUGCAGCCUCCAUUGCGUAGUAGCUAACACCUCGCAACUGGAACGCGGCGCGGCCAUGCCGUAAAACCCCAACUUCUGAAUGUUGACCUCGGAUCAGGUAGGAAUACCCGCUGAACUUAAGCAUAUCAAUAGGCGGAGGA